GAUGAACGCUAGCGGAGGCUUAACACAUGCAAGUCGAGGGGCAGCAUAGGGUAGCAAUACUCUGAUGGCGACCGGCAAACGGGUGAGUAACGCGUAUGCAACCUACCCUGUACAGGGGAUAACCCGGAGAAAUUCGGACUAAUAUCCCGUAAUAAUAUCCGGAGGCAUCUUUGGAUAUUUAAAGUUCCGACGGUACGGGAUGGGCAUGCGUAACAUUAGCUGGUUGGUAAGGUAACGGCUUACCAAGGCUAUGAUGUUUAGGGGUCCUGAGAGGGUGGUCCCCCACACUGGUACUGAGACACGGACCAGACUCCUACGGGAGGCAGCAGUGAGGAAUAUUGGUCAAUGGGCGCAAGCCUGAACCAGCCAUCCCGCGUGCAGGAAGACGGCCCUAUGGGUUGUAAACUGCUUUUCCAGGGAGAGAAACUUACGCACGUGUUGCGUGACUGACGGUACCCUGGGAAUAAGCAUCGGCUAACUCCGUG
Molecule: ribosomal RNA, 485 nt
Filed under: uncultured bacterium
Lineage: Bacteria
Description: bacterial SSU rRNA
Rfam family: Bacterial small subunit ribosomal RNA
Source: RNAcentral